GCUUCAAUGGAAAACGGAGUACUUACUGUCACUGUUCCUAAAGAGGAAGUCAAGAAACCUGAUGUUAAGGCUAUUGAGAUCUCUGGUUAAGUUUCAGCUUAUAAUGAUGUUAUCUCAAUAUAUAUAUAUAAUGAUAUGCGUGUGAGAAAGUAUGUACCGAAAGAAUGUUUAGUAUUCAUGUUUCAUUUUAAUAAUAUAAUAUAUAAUAAUUCCUGAUUAUCUUUUCUCCUUUGUUGCUUGAUGAAGUAAAUUUUAGCUGUAUAAUUUUGAUAUUACUGAUCUAAGGUCUAAGUGCAUAAUCUGCUGAUUCCAUCAAAUCAUUAAAUUCAAAACAAAAGCACCAGAAGGAAGAAAAGAAAAGUUUUUUCAACGACACAACAGCAAAUCCAAGAAAAGUAUUUUCAACGACACAACAGCAAAUCCAAGAGAUGAUGAUCAACGAAGAGUUCCCACAGGAAUCUUGUAUGUAUACCACUUUGAUAUCAAAA
Molecule: RNA transcript, 488 nt
Organism: Jatropha curcas
Lineage: Eukaryota; Viridiplantae; Streptophyta; Magnoliopsida; Malpighiales; Euphorbiaceae
Gene name: 18.5 kDa class I heat shock protein-like
Source: RefSeq, a predicted model, not a curated record